UACAGAGGUCCCGAGCGUUGUUCGGAUUCAUUGGGCGUAAAGGGUGCGUAGGCGGCUUUCUAAGUUUGAUGUGAAAUCCUGGGGCUCAACCCUGGAACUGCAUUGAAUACUGGGAGGCUAGAGAACUGGAGAGGAGACUGGAAUUUACGGUGUAGCAGUGAAAUGCGUAGAGAUCGUAAGGAAGACCAGUGGCGAAGGCGGGUCUCUGGGCCGAUACUGACGCUGGAGGAGCGAAAGCGUGGGGAGCGAACAGG
RNAcentral lists this ribosomal RNA (254 nucleotides) under uncultured bacterium. Its description in RNAcentral is "partial 16S ribosomal RNA". It matches the Rfam family "Bacterial small subunit ribosomal RNA", at positions 524 to 776 of the family's 1533-position model. The record is from RNAcentral.